GAGGGUGUAGCUCAGUGGUAGAGUGCAUGCUUAGCAGGCAUGAGGUCCUGGGUUCCACCCCCAGUACCUCCG
This 72-nucleotide transfer RNA is filed under the name Camelus bactrianus (Bactrian camel). It matches the Rfam family "tRNA". Rfam says of the family: Transfer RNA (tRNA) molecules are approximately 80 nucleotides in length. RNAcentral also lists the same sequence under 1 other name. Lineage: Eukaryota; Metazoa; Chordata; Mammalia; Artiodactyla; Camelidae. The record is from Rfam by way of RNAcentral.